Molecule: ribosomal RNA, 500 nt
Filed under: uncultured Glomeromycotina
Lineage: Eukaryota; Fungi; Glomeromycota
Description: partial small subunit ribosomal RNA
Rfam family: Eukaryotic small subunit ribosomal RNA
Source: RNAcentral
CCAAUAGCGUAUAUUAAAGUUGUUGCAGUUAAAAAGCACGUAGUUGAACCUCGGGAUCAAUGGAUCGGUCAUGCCAUCGGUAUGUACUGGUCUCAUUGGUUCUCACCUUCUAAGGAACCAUGAUGUCAUUCAGUUGAUGUUGUGGGGAAUUAGGACUGUUACCUUGAAAAAAUUAGAGUGUUUAAAGCAGGCUAACGCUUGAAUACAUUAGCAUGGAAUAAUGAAAUAGGACAUCGCAUUCUAUUUUGUUGGUUUCUAGGAUCGAUGUAAUGAUUAAUAGGGAUAGUUGGGGGCAUUAGUAUUCAAUUGUCAGAGGUGAAAUUCUUGGAUUUAUUGAAGACUAACUACUGCGAAAGCAUUUGCCAAGGAUGUUUUCAUUAAUCAAGAACGAAAGUUAGGGGAUCGAAGACGAUCAGAUACCGUCGUAGUCUUAACCAUAAACUAUGCCGACUAGGGAUCGGAUGAUGUUGAUUUUUUAAUGACUCAUUCGGCACCUUACG